RNAcentral lists this small RNA (1152 nucleotides) under Drosophila ananassae. Its description in RNAcentral is "GF28036". Lineage: Eukaryota; Metazoa; Arthropoda; Insecta; Diptera; Drosophilidae. The record is from RNAcentral.
CAUUUUCAACUGACGCCAUUUUCCACUGAGAAGACGCUAACUUUGACAAUAAGAAAACCCGAGAAAUCCUAAACAGGAGGCGUUAAAAGUCAAGGAACUCAUCCCGCCGAUGCGCCGAAGAGGUAAACCUAAUGAAAGGCGCCCUGAUGGUCAUGGGCCCGGACAGAAUUACCAAGUGAGUACUGUUGGAUAAAUACAUGUCCCCGUGAGCCUCCUCCAUUUUUUUUACAUGGGCCAAGCACACAAAGAAUGUGUGCGGAUAGCCCCUACACCGUUUUCCAAACCAUGUCGGAUCUGGAAUUGUAAACCUGGAGAUGCGCCGAAGCAAGGAACUCAUGUCGCCAGCAUGCGGCUGUCCUCUGGUUAGUUGCGAAAGUCGGCUGCGCAGCGACGUGGGACUAUGUAUUCUGGAACUACUUUUAACCACCUUAUACUCGAUGGAAAAUGUCUACAAAUACGAAAAAUUUGGUCGAAUGCUGUUCUGAAUCAAUUCAGCUUCUGCUCGAGCUUGCAGCAACCUACGUUCACAUAUUUUUAUUAUUUUGAUGUAUAUUUUUGGAUGCUAAGAUUAACCAUUAAGUACGUAAGUGAGCUGGGACAAACACACAUGGAAUGUGAUGGGCAUGACGAUACGAUUGUCUAGCCAUCCGAUUCUAAACCUGGAGAUGCGCAGAAGCAAGGAACUUAUGUCGCCAGCACGUGGUUGUCUUUGACGGACAGGUGGGGAUGCACACCUGCGGAGAUCUUGAAACAUGUGUUCAUCAUGUCCCUCCACUGUCUGCCUGGCACAUUGGUGCGACAAGCUGCAUCGAAAAUAGCAACAUAAAUAUUAUCGACUUCGUUUGGAAGACCACUGCUAACCAUGAAAUGCAAUGAAGCUACUUUUAUAGCAGUUCACCCAGUAGGGUUAUGCGAACGCUUGGAGCCCCACGAUCAUCGCCCACAAUUAAAGGAAGAUCUUCAAAAUUACGUCGUCGCACAUGCCUUUAGAAAUCUGUUACGGCUCAUGGUCCCCUCCAAUUAGUUUUUUCAAAAAAUCUAGUAGCUUCUUAGAUAUCAUUAUUUAAGAGGCCUAUUUCAAGAUUAGUUAAAUUAUUUUUAGUCUGUAACCUGUAGUAUUCUGUAGUGUUCAUUAAAAAGAGUGAUAGAUUG